Molecule: ribosomal RNA, 253 nt
Filed under: uncultured bacterium
Lineage: Bacteria
Description: partial 16S ribosomal RNA
Rfam family: Bacterial small subunit ribosomal RNA
Source: RNAcentral
UACGUAGGUGGCAAGCGUUGUUCGGAAUUAUUGGGCGUAAAGGGCGCGUAGGCGGUUUGUUAAGUCGGCUGUGAAAGCCCGGGGCUCAACCCCGGAGGGUCAGCCGAUACUGGCAGGCUAGAGUACAGAAGAGGUAACUGGAAUUCCCGGUGUAGCAGUGAAAUGCGUAGAUAUCGUGAGGAACACCAGAGGCGAAGGCGGCUACCUGGACAAUUGCUGACGCUCAGGCACGAAAGCGUGGGGAGCAAAAGGG